GAUGAAGAACGCAGCGAAAUGCGAUAAGUAGUGUGAAUUGCAGAAUUCCGUGAAUCAUCGAAUCUUUGAACGCACAUUGCGCCCUUUGGUAUUCCUUAGGGCAUGCCCGUUCGAGCGUCAUCUACACCCUCAAGCUCUGCUUGGUGUUGGGUGCCUGUCCCGCCUCCGCGUGUGGACUCACCUCAAAUCUAUUGGCGGCCCCUGUGCCGGCCCCGAGCGCAGCAGAAACGCGGUUCGUGGCCUGGUGAAGGGUGCUCCCAGAAGCAACAUUUACCGUUUUGACCUCGAAUCAGGUAGGGAUACCCGCUGAACUUAAGCAUAUCAAUAAGCGGAGGA
Molecule: unclassified non-coding RNA, 336 nt
Filed under: soil metagenome
Description: partial contains 5.8S ribosomal RNA, internal transcribed spacer 2, and large subunit ribosomal RNA
Rfam family: 5.8S ribosomal RNA (bases 1-120)
Source: RNAcentral